GACGAACGCUGGCGGCGCGCCUAACACAUGCAAGUCGAACGAGCGAGCGAGAGCUUGCUUUCUUGAUCGAGUGGCGAACGGGUGAGUAACGCGUGAGGAACCUGCCUCAAAGAGGGGGACAACAGUUGGAAACGACUGCUAAUACCGCAUAAGCCCACGGUGCCGCAUGGCACCGAGGGAAAAGGAGCAAUCCGCUUUGAGAUGGCCUCGCGUCCGAUUAGCUAGUUGGUGAGGUAACGGCCCACCAAGGCGACGAUCGGUAGCCGGACUGGGAGGUGGAACGGCCACAUUGGGACUGAGACACGGCCCAGACUCGUACGGGAGGGAGGAGUGGGGAAUAUUGCACAAUGGGGGAAGCCCUGAUGAAGCGACGCCGCGUGGAGGAAGAAGGUCUUCGGAUUGUAAACUCCUGUGGUAGGGGAAGAUAAUGACGGUACCGAGUAAGGAAGUGACGGCUAACUACGUG
Molecule: ribosomal RNA, 466 nt
Filed under: uncultured bacterium
Lineage: Bacteria
Description: partial 16S ribosomal RNA
Rfam family: Bacterial small subunit ribosomal RNA
Source: RNAcentral